AAUCCAUGAUGAGGACACCUUCUCAGAAGAUCCUUAAAUCUCUCUCAUACAUUGUACAGUGUCUUAAGUUCAAAUUGAGUAAAAGAAGAUAUAUCAUUCCUCAACCU
This is a non-coding RNA of Gossypium hirsutum (cotton), 107 nucleotides long. Lineage: Eukaryota; Viridiplantae; Streptophyta; Magnoliopsida; Malvales; Malvaceae. The record is from Rfam.